GAUGAAUGCUGGCGGCGUGCCUAAUACAUGCAAGUCGAGCGAACGGACGAGAAGCUCGCUUCUCUGAUGUUAGCGGCGGACGGGUGAGUAACACGUGGAUAACCUACCUAUAAGACUGGGAUAACUUCGGGAAACCGGAGCUAAUACCGGAUAAUAUUUUGAACCGCAUGGUUCAAAAGUGAAAGACGGUCUUGCUGUCACUUAUAGAUGGAUCCGCGCUGCAUUAGCUAGUUGGUAAGGUAACGGCUUACCAAGGCAACGAUGCAUAGCCGACCUGAGAGGGUGAUCGGCCACACUGGAACUGAGACACGGUCCAGACUCCUACGGGAGGCAGCAGUAGGGAAUCUUCCGCAAUGGGCGAAAGCCUGACGGAGCAACGCCGCGUGAGUGAUGAAGGUCUUCGGAUCGUAAAACUCUGUUAUUAGGGAAGAACAUAUGUGUAAGUAACUGUGCACAUCUUGACGGUACCUAAUCAGAAAGCCACGGCUAACUACGUG
RNAcentral lists this ribosomal RNA (497 nucleotides) under uncultured bacterium. RNAcentral describes it as "partial 16S ribosomal RNA". It matches the Rfam family "Bacterial small subunit ribosomal RNA", at positions 28 to 507 of the family's 1533-position model. The record is from RNAcentral.